GUUUACGUCUCCAUGUCAUGAAACGAGACGAAAAAAUGGGCGAAACAAAACAAAUUGUUGCUAAUUAUACUUAUAUUCCUGUGAUUUCAAAUACCAAAUGGAUCUUCGUAUCUUGUAUGCAUAGCUAAUUAGCUACUGUCACUGUCAGUCAUACCAACAAGUUGACUUCUAGCACUCAGUCACUUUCCAUCCAUUAAAUCCUCAUGCUGUCAAAAGCCUUAAACUCAUAUUUGAAGCACACAUAUAGUGGAAUAUAAAUGUGUGGGUAUGAGGUAUUUUCCAAUUACUGUAACCACACCAACCACACCACGUCAGAUGCCUUAGAGCUACUAAAUCAUCACCUAUAUGAUGAUAAAGCAUCAGGAAAUUUAUCCCACCUGAGGAGUAAUGCAGCAAUUAUUACGGGUUUUCUUCACAUGAACAUUUCAGUGUGCGUCUUGGAAAAGCACGCAAGAUGCCCACGGACAUCCUUGAGUCAAUGCUGGAUAUUGUCCUUGACAGAAGAGGGACUUCCACCAACGUUCUGCUCCAUUCUUAUCUUCAAGACGUACGCUCAUACAGCUUCGCUGCUUCAGCGCUUCUUAUGCUGCUACACGUCAACUUUUCUUGCUUCACUGGCGAGUGGAUCACUUCAGUUGCUGUGACAAACCUGCAGUCACUCACCAAGGGAUUAUGGCCAGGUUUAUAUGCAGAGGAGACGUUGAGAAGACGGACACCAAAAACGUCGCCAGUGUGUCAAAAAUGUCAGCUGCGGAUCAUCAUUUGUUGUUGGUAAUAUGUUUUGUGUUAGUUAACCCGUUGGCUGCCACGCCUUUGUUCCCCCAU
Daphnia pulicaria is the source of this 825-nucleotide long non-coding RNA. RefSeq lists it as uncharacterized. The record is from RefSeq and is a predicted model, not a curated record. The transcript is spliced from 5 exons. NCBI's taxonomy places the organism in Eukaryota, Metazoa, Arthropoda, Branchiopoda, Diplostraca, Daphniidae.